AUUGAACGCUGGCGGCAUGCUUUACACAUGCAAGUCGAACGGUAACAGGUUAAGCUGACGAGUGGCGAACGGGUGAGUAAUGCAUCGGAACGUGCCCGAUCGUGGGGGAUAACGCAGCGAAAGCUGCGCUAAUACCGCAUACGAUCUGAGGAUGAAAGCGGGGGACCGUAAGGCCUCGAGCGAUCGGAGCGGCCGAUGUGAGAUUAGGUAGUUGGUGGGGUAAAGGCUCACCAAGCCAACGAUCUGUAGCUGGUCUGAGAGGACGACCAGCCACACUGGGACUGAGACACGGCCCAGACUCCUACGGGAGGCAGCAGUGGGGAAUUUUGGACAAUGGGCGAAAGCCUGAUCCAGCAAUGCCGCGUGCAGGAAGAAGGCCUUCGGGUUGUAAACUGCUUUUGUACGGAGCGAAAAGGCUCUCUCUAAUACAGGGGGCUCAUGACGGUACCGUAAGAAUAAGCACCGGCUAACUACGUGCCAGCCGCCGCAGUAA
RNAcentral lists this ribosomal RNA (493 nucleotides) under uncultured bacterium. RNAcentral describes it as "partial 16S ribosomal RNA". It matches the Rfam family "Bacterial small subunit ribosomal RNA", at positions 29 to 523 of the family's 1533-position model. The record is from RNAcentral.